RNAcentral lists this unclassified non-coding RNA (221 nucleotides) under rhizosphere metagenome. RNAcentral's name for it is "partial ribosomal RNA internal transcribed spacer region". The record is from RNAcentral.
GUAGGUGAACCUGCGGAAGGAUCAUUAGAAAGUUCGACGCUCCGGCGUCCCACCUUCAAACCACUGUGAAACCACCCGUUGCUUCGGCGGCAUCGGUGCCCUUCGUCGGGUGCCGUGUCGGUCCGCCUGAGGCUCCGAACCAAACCAUUUUCCGUAACCGUAGUCUGAUAAACCAAAGAUUUAAUUCGUUAAAACUUUCAACAACGGAUCUCUUGGUUCUC